Molecule: microRNA precursor, 171 nt
Filed under: Triticum aestivum (bread wheat)
Lineage: Eukaryota; Viridiplantae; Streptophyta; Magnoliopsida; Poales; Poaceae
Description: MIR2118 microRNA precursor family
Rfam family: MIR2118 microRNA precursor family
Source: Rfam by way of RNAcentral
GCUGGGAAGAGGAAGAAGCGAGAGUCCACGAGCAGUGGGGAUGGGAACACAGAGAAAACUAUAAAUUCUCUAUUUUCUCUUCUAGCAUUAGAUGAGGAGAUUUUGUUUUGUGUUUUUCCGGUGCCUCUCAUUCCUAUUGUUCUUGGAUUCUCCUUCCCCUCCCCUUUAGCU